RNAcentral lists this ribosomal RNA (2070 nucleotides) under Triticum aestivum (bread wheat). RNAcentral's name for it is "partial small subunit ribosomal RNA". Lineage: Eukaryota; Viridiplantae; Streptophyta; Magnoliopsida; Poales; Poaceae. The record is from RNAcentral.
GGGUGGGGGUGGCCUGCCUGCCUGCCUUUAGUGCCGCGCGGAGGCACAGAGCAGCGUCGGGCAGGUGGUGGACAGGAGACGGGCGACAGGCGGAGGUGCGGGGUCUAGAGGUCGAGGGGGGUGGAGGGUUCGUCCCCGGCGACGAGGCACCGGUGUCUCACAGCCGACCCCCCUGCUUUACCGCCGCGAACGACCGAGGCGGGACGACGACGAGCGCCGCCGCGACGAGGAGAGGCGCGGCCGACGGUGUCUCCGCAUGCUAAGCGAUCUAGGCUUGCCCUUGUAGUGGUAUUUUACCCUAGAAUUUCUCACCUGAGGACUACCAAUACAACACUCAUCGUGAAGUUGUAGACACAGAGAGUAGGGUUAGAUACUUAAUCCGGUCGUAACUAAAAAUGACUCCAAAACUAGUGGAGUUGUUCAUUCAUCGUACCGGUCACUAGCGGAUGUAUGUUUGAGUCGAUGUUCGUCGUAUAUAUAUCACCUGAUGACCUGAGUUCACGUCACUAGUCGUCUCGUCUAACACCUAUUAUUAGACCAGUGGGACUGGGACAUGGACAUAGUACUAAAGGAAGAAGGUUUGAACAGUACACGUCCGUUACCAGUGUUAUAUGUUGAUGGUCGUCAAGGCCGUGUAUAGCCGCGGGCCCACCGUCGACCCCACCUGCACCCGGUUCUUCCUCCAGUAGACCAGGUACCACCCCCGAGUCUGGUGGCUCGUCCCGCUGACGAGGUUCAAGUUCUGGUUGGGAGGGGUAACGACGUUCUCUCUAGGCUGGCAGUAGCUAGAAGAGGGUCCUUGUGGCAUGUUUCUGGUUCAACCGUUGACGACGUUCCCUCCUCAAUAUUCAUGCAAAUUGGUCCUGGGUCGUUUACGACGGAGGAAGGUCUAGUCACAUCCAGAAAGACCCUGAUGGUUAUUCUGCCAAUUCGACGGGUUUUUGAAGUGAGAAUUCUGGGGUCCGGGCCCGAUGUGAACGCCCGCACGAUGACAACACUCCGGGUGGUUCAAAGAGUAGCCACUGUCCGCGUCCUGCUGGGUUCGAGAAUACUGUACCUUACAUUGGACGUGGAUGAGGGUCAAAGAACGAGUCUUCUGGGGCUGGACGACACAUCGAGAGAGCAGCAAAAUAUUAUUGUGAUAACACCCGACGGGUUGUACGAGAACGCCGACGGUUUUGUUAUUAUGAGUAGGUCCUUCGACACAUUUAGGGUUGAGUGGAAUAAAUGUUAGACGGUAGCUACCGGGACCGUUUAUGUGGCCGGUCGGAGAACAGGUCACGUGAAGGGUGUACACGGGCCAUUUUCACGUGACCGUACAGUUCGAGUUGAUGUUCCUGAUGACCUCUCAGUUUCAUUGGUAGUGUUUGAAGUUGAUGGCGUACUUGAUGUGUCUGACCUUGGACCAACAGGUCGUGGGGUUGAAGUUGUUGUAGUGUUUCGAGAAGUCGAAGUUGAUGUUCGGCGAGAGGGGCAUGCCACCGGCGUAUUUGCUGUCGCGGUACAAGACCCCCUACUUCAAGAUGUUACUAGACGAGUUAGUUCGGCCAGGCAAGCCUUUGCGCGUCUGCCUUUAAGAAGACGUCUUCCUGGGCCUCUGGAAGUGGAAGCUUUUCCCAACCCGGAAGGGCGCCGCGCACAUGAAGUUGCCGCUGUUGACGCAGUACGGCGGAGGGCUGCGGAUAGGCACCGACGGAUUGCGCUCGGGAGGCUACUUCGUUGGCACCUGCGAGCUCGAGAACCACAAGACCUGGCGCGACCGGUGGGACGACCGGAUAAUACAGACUACUACUUGCUACAGCCGCUCGAAGACAGCCCAAGGUGCUCCACGCGCCGCUUUCCAGCAUAAGACAAGUAAGCCAAGGUGUCAACGUAUAUUCUCUUCUCUGCCCACUCCUUUCGACUACACACAUAUACACAAGACGAUUUAAUUUAUCCCGGGUUUUACAUCACCGUGGUUUCGAAACCACUUGACUAAUUAACUUAACAUACCGACAUCACUUAAUUUGCAUACUCAAUCAUGUAUUAUUACAAACACACUUUACCUCCCCUACGACAACCAGCUCCACU